This 468-nucleotide ribosomal RNA is filed under the name uncultured bacterium. RNAcentral describes it as "partial 16S ribosomal RNA". It matches the Rfam family "Bacterial small subunit ribosomal RNA", at positions 28 to 507 of the family's 1533-position model. The record is from RNAcentral.
GACGAACGCUGGCGGCGUGCUUAACACAUGCAAGUCGAACGGAAAGGCCCUGCUUUUGUGGGGUGCUCGAGUGGCGAACGGGUGAGUAACACGUGAGUAACCUGCCCUUGACUUUGGGAUAACUUCAGGAAACUGGGGCUAAUACCGGAUAGGAGCUCCUGCUGCAUGGUGGGGGUUGGAAAGUUUCGGCGGUUGGGGAUGGACUCGCGGCUUAUCAGCUUGUUGGUGGGGUAGUGGCUUACCAAGGCUUUGACGGGUAGCCGGCCUGAGAGGGUGACCGGCCACAUUGGGACUGGGAUACGGCCCAGACUCCUACGGGAGGCAACAGUGGGGAAUAUUGCACAAUGAGCGGAAGCCUGAUGCAGCAACGCCGCGUGCGGGAUGACGGCCUUCGGGUUGUAAACCGCUUUCGCCUGUGACGAAGCGUGAGUGACGGUAAUGGGUAAAGAAGCACCGGCUAACUACGUG